AGAGUUUGAUCCUGGCUCAGGACGAACGCUGGCGGCGUGCCUAAUACAUGCAAGUCGAGCGGACAGAUGGGAGCUUGCUCCCUGAUGUUAGCGGCGGACGGGUGAGUAACACGUGGGUAACCUGCCUGUAAGACUGGGAUAACUCCGGGAAACCGGGGCUAAUACCGGAUGGUUGUUUGAACCGCAUGGUUCAAACAUAAAAGGUGGCUUCGGCUACCACUUACAGAUGGACCCGCGGCGCAUUAGCUAGUUGGUGAGGUAACGGCUCACCAAGGCAACGAUGCGUAGCCGACCUGAGAGGGUGAUCGGCCACACUGGGACUGAGACACGGCCCAGACUCCUACGGGAGGCAGCAGUAGGGAAUCUUCCGCAAUGGACGAAAGUCUGACGGAGCAACGCCGCGUGAGUGAUGAAGGUUUUCGGAUUGUAAAGCUCUGUUGUUAGGGAAGAACAAGUACCGUUCGAAUAGGGCGGUACCUUGACGGUACCUAACCAGAAAGCCACGGCUAACUACGUGCCAGCAGCCGCGGUAAUACGUAGGUGGCAAGCGUUGUCCGGAAUUAUUGGGCGUAAAGGGCUCGCAGGCGGUUUCUUAAGUCUGAUGUGAAAGCCCCCGGCUCAACCGGGGAGGGUCAUUGGAAACUGGGGAACUUGAGUGCAGAAGAGGAGAGUGGAAUUCCACGUGUAGCGGUGAAAUGCGUAGAGAUGUGGAGGAACACCAGUGGCGAAGGCGACUCUCUGGUCUGUAACUGACGCUGAGGAGCGAAAGCGUGGGGAGCGAACAGGAUUAGAUACCCUGGUAGUCCACGCCGUAAACGAUGAGUGCUAAGUGUUAGGGGGUUUCCGCCCCUUAGUGCUGCAGCUAACGCAUUAAGCACUCCGCCUGGGGAGUACGGUCGCAAGACUGAA
Molecule: ribosomal RNA, 909 nt
Filed under: Bacillus subtilis
Lineage: Bacteria; Bacillati; Bacillota; Bacilli; Caryophanales; Bacillaceae
Description: bacterial SSU rRNA
Rfam family: Bacterial small subunit ribosomal RNA
Source: RNAcentral